Molecule: ribosomal RNA, 451 nt
Filed under: uncultured bacterium
Lineage: Bacteria
Description: partial 16S ribosomal RNA
Rfam family: Bacterial small subunit ribosomal RNA
Source: RNAcentral
GUGGGGAAUAUUGGACAAUGGGGGGAACCCUGAUCCAGCCAUGCCGCGUGUGUGAAGAAGGCCUUUUGGUUGUAAAGCACUUUAAGCGAGGAGGAGGCUUACCUGGUUAAUACCUGGGAUAAGUGGACGUUACUCGCAGAAUAAGCACCGGCUAACUCUGUGCCAGCAGCCGCGGUAAUACAGAGGGUGCGAGCGUUAAUCGGAUUUACUGGGCGUAAAGCGCGCGUAGGUGGCCAAUUAAGUCAAAUGUGAAAUCCCCGAGCUUAACUUGGGAAUUGCAUUCGAUACUGGUUGGCUAGAGUAUGGGAGAGGAUGGUAGAAUUCCAGGUGUAGCGGUGAAAUGCGUAGAGAUCUGGAGGAAUACCGAUGGCGAAGGCAGCCAUCUGGCCUAAUACUGACACUGAGGUGCGAAAGCAUGGGGAGCAAACAGGAUUAGAAACCCGGGUAGUCC